Molecule: ribosomal RNA, 490 nt
Filed under: uncultured bacterium
Lineage: Bacteria
Description: partial 16S ribosomal RNA
Rfam family: Bacterial small subunit ribosomal RNA
Source: RNAcentral
AUUGAACGCUGGCGGCAGGCCUAACACAUGCAAGUCGAACGGUAGCAGGAAGCUUCUUGCUGCUUCGCUGACGAGUGGCGUACGGGUGAGUUAUGUCUGUGCCACUGCCUGAUGGAGGAGGAUAACUACUGGAAACUGUUGCUACUACCGCAUAACGUGGCAAGACCAAAGAGCUUGGGCUUAGGGCCUCUUACCAUCGCAUAUGCCCAGGUUGGAUUAGCUAGUAGGUGGGGUAAAGGCUGACCAAGGCGACGAUCCGUAGCUGGUCUGAGAGGAUGAUCAGACACACUGGAACUGAGACACGGUCCAGACUCCUACGGGAGGCAGCAGUGGGGAAUAUUGGACAAUGGGCGAAAGCCUGAUGCAGCCAUGCCGCGUGUAUGAAGAAGGUCUUCGGAUUGUAAAGUACUUUCAGUGGGGAGGAAGGGAGGAAAGUUAAUACCUUGCCGUAUUGACGUUACCAGCAGAAGAAGCACCGGCUAACUUCGUG